GGUACCUAUCAUGAGAUUUAUGAACACUAUCUAAUAGUAAAAAAUAUAAAAAAAGAAAUUCUUUGUAUAUACAUUCGAACUACUGUUGGUCAUAUUUCUCUUUAUCGAGAAAUCGAAGAAGCUAUACAAGGGUUUUGCCAAGCCUGCUCAGAUAGUAUCUAAUCUAAUCAUAGGGAUCUAAGCUAAGUAAUUCUAUGAUACCGGCAUGAAUUCCAAUCUCUUCGGUUCAACUAGGACCAUAGUUCCUGAAUUUAUACGCGAAUCAAGAUCGAG
RNAcentral lists this unclassified non-coding RNA (273 nucleotides) under Hevea brasiliensis (rubber tree). The record is from RNAcentral. Lineage: Eukaryota; Viridiplantae; Streptophyta; Magnoliopsida; Malpighiales; Euphorbiaceae.